CGUGUUAGGCUCCGAGAGGUUGCUUUCAGCGACGCAAAAUCAGGAGGUACCUUAUAUGAUUCUGGAUGCAUGGCUAAUCUCGUCCGAAUGAUGAUGAUGAUGUGGUCCGCCAUUUCCCUGCCUCGCAAUCGCAUGCCAUGCCGGUGCUCUCCACUUCACGCUUCACCUGCUAGAAAAAAAAUGAAAAACAAAAAAACAGACACUAAAACGAGCAGACAAGCUGCUGAAGGAGCCGUCGCGUUACCCCGCAAAUGACGCGCCAAAGUGGCUCGAGAAGAAGAGAUCAUGGUGAAAACAGGGAGAUGUACUGGG
RNAcentral lists this long non-coding RNA (312 nucleotides) under Sorghum bicolor (sorghum). RNAcentral describes it as "long non-coding RNA (SBIC_LNC003846)". Lineage: Eukaryota; Viridiplantae; Streptophyta; Magnoliopsida; Poales; Poaceae. The record is from RNAcentral.